UUUAUCCUUCGGGGUACGAGCGGACACAGGUGGUGCAUGGUUGUCGUCAGCUCGUGUCGUGAGAUGUUGGGUUAAGUCCCGCAACGAGCGCAACCCUUGUCUUUAGUUGCCAUCAUUAAGUUGGGCACUCUAAAGAGACUGCCGAUGACAAAUCGGAGGAAGGUGGGGAUGACGUCAAAUCAUCAUGCCCUUUAUGUCCUGGGCUACACACGUGCUACAAUGGUCGGUACAACGAGAAGCAAGCCAGCGAUGGCAAGCAAAUCUCUAAAAGCCGAUCCCAGUUCGGAUUGCAGGCUGCAACUCGCCUGCAUGAAGUCGGAGUUGCUAGUAAUCGCGGAUCAGAAUGCCGCGGUGAAUGCGUUCCCGGGUCUU
RNAcentral lists this ribosomal RNA (372 nucleotides) under uncultured Eubacteriales bacterium. RNAcentral describes it as "bacterial SSU rRNA". It matches the Rfam family "Bacterial small subunit ribosomal RNA", at positions 1012 to 1382 of the family's 1533-position model. Lineage: Bacteria; Bacillati; Bacillota; Clostridia; Eubacteriales. The record is from RNAcentral.